CACCAAUCACGCCUGGCGUGGUAUUGGGCGACGGGGCGAGUCACAUCGCCCCGCGCCUCAAUGAUCUUUCCGGCGGGACGGACCGUAUCUCAGCGUUGUGCAAACGAGUCGCUGGCGAUGUGCGGGACGGCCGUGCCGUUAAACCCCCAUUUUAUUCA
This 158-nucleotide unclassified non-coding RNA is filed under the name uncultured Teratosphaeriaceae. RNAcentral's name for it is "sequence contains ITS2". Lineage: Eukaryota; Fungi; Ascomycota; Dothideomycetes; Mycosphaerellales; Teratosphaeriaceae. The record is from RNAcentral.